AUUGAACGCUGGCGGCAGGCCUAACACAUGCAAGUCGAACGAGUGGCGGACGGGUGAGUAAUGUCUGGGAAACUGCCUGAUGGAGGGGGAUAACUACUGGAAACGGUAGCUAAUACCGCAUACCCUCAGAUGUUCCCAGAUGGGAUUUGCUUGUUGGUGGGUUAACGGCUCACAAAGGCGACGAUCCCUAGCUGGUCUGAGAGGAUGACCAGCAACACUGGAACGGAGACACGGUCCAGACUCCUACGGGAGGCAGCAGUGGGGAAUAUUGGGAAAUGGGCGCAAGCCUGAUGCAGCCCGGCCGCGUGUAUGAAGAAGGCUUUCGGGUUGUAAAGUACGUUCAGCGGGGAGGCGUUACCCGCAGAAGAAGCACCGGCUAACUCCGUGCCAGCAGCCGCGGUAAUUC
Molecule: ribosomal RNA, 406 nt
Filed under: uncultured bacterium
Lineage: Bacteria
Description: partial 16S ribosomal RNA
Rfam family: Bacterial small subunit ribosomal RNA
Source: RNAcentral